This is a long non-coding RNA of Sebastes umbrosus (honeycomb rockfish), 2499 nucleotides long. RefSeq lists it as uncharacterized. NCBI's taxonomy places the organism in Eukaryota, Metazoa, Chordata, Actinopteri, Perciformes, Sebastidae. The record is from RefSeq and is a predicted model, not a curated record. The transcript has 3 exons.
UUCUAAGUCUUAUUAUAGGGCUGGGCGAUAUGGCUUAAAAAUAAUAUCGCCAUAUUUUUAGGCAAUAUCGCGAUACACGAUAUAUCGCCAUAUUUUCAAAUAUCCUCUAAGCACCUCAUAAAUGCUCGAUUUAACCCUUUGAUGCAUACAAUCACACCAAUAUGAUGAUUCUUGUAGUCCCUGCAGCAUCUGUCUGCAUUAAAACCUUCUUGUUUAUAUUCAUUAGUGGUUUUCUGUUGGAACAAUUUUGCGAAAACUGCAGUCUUGUCCACUUAUUCAGGCUGACAGCUUUGGUUCUGUUAGCUGGACGUUCAUAUUUUGGAUCAAGUGUCUUAAUGAGUCUUUUGAAUCAGGGCUUUUCAACUACGCUGACCAGCGUUGCGAUGUAGUUUACAGCGGCCGUGAUUUCUUUGCAUUUUGCAGUUUUUCGUCAUAUGGGAUUGCUUUGGAAAGCGAGGAAGCCAGAGUUAUUCGAUCAUCGACUAUAUUCGAUGUAUCGCCCACCCCUAAUUAGAGUGUUUGAACUCGUAAGUUGAUUUACCUCAAAAAAAUGAUCCGCUGAUUUACAGACAUCUCUUCCCCUAUGUAAGUCUGUGGGAAAAAGUAUUUUUGGUCCCAGUGGCAUCACAUGACGAAUCUGGAGGUUGUAACACUGAAUUCACACCAGUCAGCGACAAAGUGUGGCUCGCCGCAAUAUUUACAUUUUCUGCGUCCGGGAGGCAUCUAUUCGUUGAGGCAGGAAGAAAUUCCUUGUAAGAAAUUCAUGUUUUUUGAAUGACAUCAGAUCUAAAAUGUUAUUCCUUCAUUUAGCGCAGAGAUUUCAAAAGUGGCAGACAAAAAAAAGAAACUUGCCUGCCACUGAUCGAACUGUGAUGAUGUGUUCAAAAUCAAAAUUGAUAUCGAUUCAUUAAUAUUAGGGGGUCUUUCUCCCUGUGGACUCUCGCUGCACGUCUCUCCUCUCUGCCGCGCUGGAGCUGCACGAGUCAUCCAAACUGAUCAAAUCAUGUGGGCACAAAAUACAGGAGCUAUAUCCAACAUUACGAGUAAAAGGAUGUCUGUCAUCUUAUCAAUUGUUGCGAUCUUUCGCCAGAAAUGAGUGCGUUCUGGAUAGACUGUAUAAGUAAGUCCGUUCAUCGCUCUCUCUCUCUCCCUCGCUCUGCGUAUUCUCUCUCUCUCUCUCUCUCUCUCUCUCUCAGGUGCAAGCUGUCGAGCGCCAAUAUGCAAUUACAACCAACCAAACCAAUAAUUGUUUUGGGAUUGCUUGUGACAGCCCUAGUGUCCACCUUCAGUUGCACUCGCAAAAUCAAUCUGCGCACCGUUGAUAGAGCCACCGCAAACCCUUGCGUGAAUCGAAGCUUCGAUGCAAACAAUUUGCGGUUUUCGUAAUCAAUUUACUUGAGUGCACGAGGAAUCGUUUCAGCCCUAAGAGUCACAGAUCCAAUAUUUGCACUGAAAGUUCAACCGAAGUUGAACUCCACAGGAAUGUGAAGGUGCCAAUUUGCUUCGUCGCCGAAAGCAAAAGUUUUUUCUCCCCUUCGCAGGUACGGAAUGGAAGUGAACGGCAGACAAAUGUUAAUUUCGCACGUGUGACCGGGCCUUAAUACAGCAUUUCUUGCCGGGAACGUUGCCGCAGACACCCAGUUUGUAAUACUGCAAAUAUAUCAUCAGUGGGUCACAUAAGCUCAAUCGCCAUUGUGUUACCAAAUACGCUGAUAAAUAGUGACUUAACUGAAUUUUGCUUCAAUGAAAAUCUUCGAGAUUGGCACUUUAACAUCAAGGUCAUAGCAAAUAAGAUCAAGAAGGUAUCCCUGGGAUUUGCUAAAAUAAACCAUUAUUUGUUUGAGAGUUUCACACCGGACAAGCUGUUCCAUUCCACCUAGUGUAGUGAAAGAAACAAUUGCUAUGUUUUUGAAUACAAAAGCCCAUCUAGGAUCAAGUUUUCAACAGAAAGUACGUUAUAAACAGCAGCCAGGAUAGACACGCCUCUUUCCAACCAAUUGCCAAGCAAUCUGUGUAGUAAGAUGAGACAGGCUUUUAACCCUGUAGGUACUGUACGCAGGUACUCCUCAUAAAGAGGACUCCCUACCUCACUGCUCUGAUUGUGAGGAAAUGUAAUCAGACUCGAACCAGAAGCAAAUUUGCGAGCGGAGUGGGGCCUCUUGUCUGCAGGGCCUUUUUGCUGGCGGGUAGUAUAGUAGAGGAACAAAGCUGUCUAUACAGAAAGGCAGCUGGUUAACACAACAGUUUCAUUACAAAGGUGGUGGAGUGCUAUGGUUACAAUAGCUAGAAGCAUGGGGCUUUGACAGAGCAACAGUUUACAGCCGUUUGCUGUGAUUCAGGCACAUUUUGGAGCAUUUAACCUGCUCACGUCAUACAUUCAUUCAUACAUAAAUACAUACAAUCGAUUGAACCAUUUAAUUAGGAUAAAUCGCAAAUUAAUCACACAUUUUCAUCACACAACAAUGACAAAUAUUGUCCAGAAACCCUCACAGGUACUGC